This 305-nucleotide ribosomal RNA is filed under the name Paenibacillus sp. Expt1_481D3_P9WD_C09. Its description in RNAcentral is "bacterial SSU rRNA". It matches the Rfam family "Bacterial small subunit ribosomal RNA", at positions 1046 to 1352 of the family's 1533-position model. Lineage: Bacteria; Bacillati; Bacillota; Bacilli; Caryophanales; Paenibacillaceae. The record is from RNAcentral.
UGGUUGUCGUCAGCUCGUGUCGUGAGAUGUUGGGUUAAGUCCCGCAACGAGCGCAACCCUUAACUUUAGUUGCCAGCAUUCAGUUGGGCACUCUAGAGUGACUGCCGGUGACAAACCGGAGGAAGGUGGGGAUGACGUCAAAUCAUCAUGCCCCUUAUGACCUGGGCUACACACGUACUACAAUGGUCGGUACAACGGGAAGCGAAGCCGCGAGGUGGAGCCAAUCCUAAAAAGCCGAUCUCAGUUCGGAUUGCAGGCUGCAACUCGCCUGCAUGAAGUCGGAAUUGCUAGUAAUCGCGGAUCAG